This 74-nucleotide transfer RNA is filed under the name Vicugna pacos (alpaca). Its description in RNAcentral is "tRNA-Ala (AGC) (tRNA-Ala-AGC-620-1)". It matches the Rfam family "tRNA". From Rfam's summary of the family: Transfer RNA (tRNA) molecules are approximately 80 nucleotides in length. Lineage: Eukaryota; Metazoa; Chordata; Mammalia; Artiodactyla; Camelidae. The record is from RNAcentral.
GGAGGGUAUAGCUCAAGUGGUAGAGCACAUGCUUAGCAUGCAUGAGGUCCUGGGUUCAAUCCCCAGUGCCUCCA